UUUCGUUCUUUUUUUUUUUAAAUCACGUUUGUUUCUUUAUUGAGUUACUCAUUUGGGGUCUUUGUCCCCCAGGGCAAAGCUUCUCAAACCAGGGGUGGUAAAGGACCAGUAUGUUUAUUCCCAGUCUGUCACAGACCAAUACUUUCAUAGACUACAUUAAAAAUACACUUCUAGAAAAAUUUCUACUCAAAAAAACAUACUAAAUAUACACCCUAAAUUCUUAUUAUUACAUUUUACGGUCAUAAAUUACUCUGCCAACUUGCUAUAAAGGUUCCUGAACGGUUCCUCUCCGUUUCCGCUGUUUUCGGGAGGAGUGCGUGCUCCACCCCGGGGGGCAAGCUGAACUGACAAAGACUCAAUGCCCCGGGAGGCAGGGGCUACAGUCUUGGCUCCCUUGUCCCUGGGGUGGGGCAGCCCACCAGCCGCUGUCCCCCUGGGCCGUGGCGCCUCCAGCUGCGCCUGGGGUCACUUGCUGUGGCUCACACUCUGCUGGGCUUCCUGCCUUCUCUGUCUCUCUGCCUCCCUCCCCGACUCAAGUGUCGCCUCCCAGACAAACCGCCUGCACUCAAUUCCACGUUUAGGGGCUGCUUCCAGGGGAAUCCAAACAAUUAAUAUACAAUACAGGAUAUGCAAUCCCGAGUGUCACGGGUGCAGCUGCCCGAUGCGACUCAAAUGCAUGUGUGUUACCCUGUAACUGCUGUGCGUCCCUGUGGAAGCCACGAGACAAGUCGGCAGGCAGCAAGGAGCCUGGAGCAGCAGCCAGGGGUCCUACGGGCCCCCCAGAGCAGGAGGGGGAAGCUGGAGACCCCUCUUCCAGGGCCCGGGUCCUCCUCCUCCUCCAGGGGUGGGCAUUUCCUGUCACUGGUGCUCCAGCAAACCAAGCAAGGCUCAGAGAAACCGUGUCUGCCCACAGCCAGGAAGCUAUAAAUAACUCCUGGAUUAGAAGAAGGGGAAAAUAAGCUCUGAUUCCAUCUGCACUUGCUGAGAACACGCCCUCCCAGCCCACGCGCCCCCCCACACCUAGACCCCAAACCCCCAACCAGAGGAAGCCUGGGGGCCCCGCGGUCAGAGGAGGAAGCCACCAGGUCCACAUGCAGUGGCUCUGCCCUGCGGUCAGCCGGCGGUGGCAGACAGGCCUCUGCCAGGGCUUGUCACCUGCAGCAGGAGAGGCACCCAGGAUGGAGGCCGGAUCCCAGUUCUGGGAUCAGCCAAUUCUCUGAGCCCCACAAGGGGGAAGCAGGAGGCACCCUCUUCUCCCGAGAGCCAGCAGGGGGCGGGCAGCCGGGGCGGCAGUUGUGGGGACCGUGACAAGUGGCAUUCCCACCUUGGCGUCCCUUUCUCGGUCACAUCCUCUGCUCCCAUUUCCUCUGUACUCUCGGCUCCUCGUGUGCCUUUCUCUGCUCUGCCACCUGUUGUCCUUCCUUCUACCUCUCCAUCUAUCUCCUGUCUCCUCACAUCCACCUCUCCAUCCAUCUACCCCCUCUCCCCGCAUCCGGAUGCCCCUCUGUCUUCGAAAAGGGCAAAACCGCUGAAGUGGAGUCAGACACACAGGGAACCAGAUGCCAAGUGCUUCUUGGAGGAGCCGAGACCUCUGCGUCCUGAUCCGUGGGAUGGGGACGCUAAUCGGCACCGCGGGGCUGCGGCUAAGAUCCCAGAGGGAAGGCCCUGUGGGUGGAGGGCACGGCCCCUACCCCCACUCCCACCCCCAACCCAGGUCCUCUUCUCCAAAAGCCGCUCCAGCGCGGCCGGCCUGCUCCCGUGGCCAUUUCGGUUUCACUCCUGCAUGCCCUGUCUGCUGGAGACCCAGUCGGGUGUCCCGCAGCACCGCUGACCAGGUCCCCGCCUCCUGUCCGGGCGCAGGGGUCCAGCGGGCACCGGAUGCCUGUCCACGUGCGUGCAGCAAAGAGCCUGGGGGGCGGCAGAAGAAGAGGCAACUUUAUUGACUUUCUCGGGGCCGCCGGGGGCUGGCCCAGCCGGGGGGCGCCGCCGCGGGGGUGCCGGCCUCGGGCCCAGGCGGGAGCAGCACGAGGCCAGGGGGCUGGCCGGCGCCCGCGUGCGCGUAGCUGCGCGCCAGCCUCUCCAGGCGCCGCUUGCGCUCGGCCGCCUGCGCCGUGCUGUGCAGGGGCCGCAGCAGCGCGGGGGGCGGCGCGCCCGAUGCCGCGGAAGUGCGCCUCCCAGAGCUGCGCGUCCCCGCCGUAGAUGUCUGGGAAGGGGGGCUCCGGGGGCGCGGCGGGACCUGCGG
Equus caballus (horse) is the source of this 2242-nucleotide long non-coding RNA. Lineage: Eukaryota; Metazoa; Chordata; Mammalia; Perissodactyla; Equidae. The record is from Ensembl.